This 253-nucleotide ribosomal RNA is filed under the name uncultured bacterium. Its description in RNAcentral is "partial 16S ribosomal RNA". It matches the Rfam family "Bacterial small subunit ribosomal RNA", at positions 524 to 776 of the family's 1533-position model. The record is from RNAcentral.
UACGGGGGGGGCAAGCGUUGUUCGGAAUUACUGGGCGUAAAGAGCUCGUAGGCGGCUUGUCGCGUCGUCCGUGAAAACCUGGGGCUCAACCCCAGGCUUGCGGUCGAUACGGGCAGGCUCGAGUUCGGUAGGGGAGACUGGAAUUCCUGGUGUAGCGGUGAAAUGCGCAGAUAUCAGGAGGAACACCGGUGGCGAAGGCGGGUCUCUGGGCCGAUACUGACGCUGAGGAGCGAAAGCGUGGGGAGCGAACAGG